Molecule: ribosomal RNA, 884 nt
Filed under: uncultured bacterium
Lineage: Bacteria
Description: bacterial SSU rRNA
Rfam family: Bacterial small subunit ribosomal RNA
Source: RNAcentral
ACGAACUCUGGUAUUGAUUGGUGCUUGCAUCAUGAUUUACAUUUGACUGUGUGGCGAACUGGUGAGUAACACGUGGGAAACCUGCCCACAAGCGGGGGAUAACACCUGGAAACAGAUGCUAAUACCGCAUAACAACUUGGACCGCAUGGUCCGAGUUUGAAAGAUGGCUUCGGCUAUCACUUUUGGAUGGUCCCGCGGCGUAUUAGCUAGAUGGUGGGGUAACGGCUCACCAUGGCAAUGAUACGUAGCCGACCUGAGAGGGUAAUCGGCCACAUUGGGACUGAGACACGGCCCAAACUCCUACGGGAGGCAGCAGUAGGGAAUCUUCCACAAUGGACGAAAGUCUGAUGGAGCAACGCCGCGUGAGUGAAGAAGGGUUUCGGCUCGUAAAACUCUGUUGUUAAAGAAGAACAUAUCUGAGAGUAACUGUUCAGGUAUUGACGGUAUUUAACCAGAAAGCCACGGCUAACUACGUGCCAGCAGCCGCGGUAAUACGUAGGUGGCAAGCGUUGUCCGGAUUUAUUGGGCGUAAAGCGAGCGCAGGCGGUUUUUUAAGUCUGAUGUGAAAGCCUUCGGCUCAACCGAAGAAGUGCAUCGGAAACUGGGAAACUUGAGUGCAGAAGAGGACAGUGGAACUCCAUGUGUAGCGGUGAAAUGCGUAGAUAUAUGGAAGAACACCAGUGGCGAAGGCGGCUGUCUGGUCUGUAACUGACGCUGAGGCUCGAAAGUAUGGGUAGCAAACAGGAUUAGAUACCCUGGUAGUCCAUACCGUAAACGAUGAAUGCUAAGUGUUGGAGGGUUUCCGCCCUUCAGUGCUGCAGCUAACGCAUUAAGCAUUCCGCCUGGGGAGUACGGCCGCAAGGCUGAAACUCAAAGGAAUUGAC